CUCCUUGAACACUCGCAUGUGGCGGUGGAUCUUACUCCUUCCAGCCAGUGAGGAUCCAGCAACCUGCUCCGUGCCUCCCGCGCCUGUUGGUUGGAAGUGACGACUUUGAAGAUCGGCCGGUUGGAAGUGACGACCUUGAAGAUCGGCGGGCGCAGCGGGGCUGAGGGGGCGGGUCUGGCGCUAGGUCCCGCCCCUGCGUGCCGGGAACCCCAGAGGAGGUCGCAGUUCAGCCCAGCUGAGGCCUGUCUGCAGAAUCCACACCAACCAGCAUCAUGUCCAUGACACUGGGAUACUGGGACAUCCGCGGGCUGGCCCACGCCAUCCGCCUGCUCCUGGAAUACACAGACUCAAGCUACGAGGAAAAGAAGUACACGAUGGGGGAUGCUCCUGACUAUGACAGAAGCCAGUGGCUGAAUGAAAAAUUCAAGCUGGGCCUGGACUUUCCCAAUGUAGGUGCAGGGGAAGGGGCGGUUUUGGGGGAAAGUGCGACGUGUCUCAGACUGCAUCUCCUCUCCCCAGCUUAGAAGUGUUAGGAUCAAGAGUCUUCUGCCCAAUUCCUCUCACUCCUGGCUGUCUACACAGCCCUUCCAUGAUGUUCUGUGUCCCAGCUCAUUUGUUCAUGUGACAGUAUUUCUAUCUCAGGCCUGCCAUGAGCCGCCACAGUGAGUGCCCGGUCUCCUCUCUGCCCUUGCAUAUGGGAAGGGGAUGCUGGGGAGCCUGGUGGCCCAACUGAGCUUCCCCGGUUUCCCAUCUAUCCAGCUGCCCUACUUGAUUGAUGGGACUCACAAGAUCACCCAGAGCAAC
This 804-nucleotide small RNA is filed under the name Pongo abelii (Sumatran orangutan). Its description in RNAcentral is "processed transcript". Lineage: Eukaryota; Metazoa; Chordata; Mammalia; Primates; Hominidae. The record is from RNAcentral.